Molecule: RNA transcript, 1290 nt
Organism: Zophobas morio
Lineage: Eukaryota; Metazoa; Arthropoda; Insecta; Coleoptera; Tenebrionidae
Exons: 4
Source: RefSeq, a predicted model, not a curated record
UUUAGGCCCGGUUUUACAAAUGUCCGGUUCAACACGAGUUCAACUGAACUUGAGUUCAACUGAACUGAGGUUCAAUUCAUGCGUCCGUUUUACAAACACCGCUAUCGUCCGGUUCAGCUGAACCACAAAUUUCCUUAGGUUGGUAGCGCGCACCCGAGAAUCUGACAGUUGAGACCACGUUGGGAGCACGUUGGAAGUGUGUUGUUGUUGUCAUCUAUGUCAUCAUGUCACAUUAUUAUAAAUUAUUUGUGACAAAUUCUGCAAAGUAAUUAGUUUUUUGCGUUACUGGGGUACGUAUAUGUGUAUAUGUAACAUUUGCUCGUUAAUAGUAGAUGAUUAUGAUGGUUUUUAACAUUUCGUUUCAGAUGAGUAAUACACGUGCUCCGAAUUUUACAAAAUCCGAAGAAAACUUGCUCCUAUCUUUAGUAAGCAAGUAUAGAAAUAUUCUGGAGUGUAAAUUGUCCAACACUGAUGCAAAUCAAAAAAAAAAAAAUCAGUGUUGGAAGAAAAUUGAAGUAGAGUUCAAUUCUUUAUCUGGCCAGACCUUCCGGGAUCACAAAGUUUUGAACAAAAAGUACGACAACAUUAAGAAGAGGACAACGAAAAAAUUUGCUGACGAGAAAGCCUAUGUCGGUGGUACUGGGAGAGGGUCACAACAAAGUAUUGAGGCCACCGAUGUUGAUGUGGCUGUAAAAGAAAUUCUCGGGGCCAAACCAAUGGGGCAUAGCAGCGAAUUUGAUGGCGAUUCCGAAACAACCUCAUUCCAAAGUAACAGCGGUAUAAUCUGUCUGAUGACGAAAAUGAUGAUUGUUUUAUGCCAAAAGAUCAAACCGGAGCAAUUUCGAGAGAAGUGCCUGUUAUGGAUAAAAUAAGUGGUCCCAAUAAAGAAAGUGGUAAACAUUAAUAAUAAUCAAAUAUGGUUAUUUUUGUAGAAAAUGGUCAAACUGGGAAUUGGGCUAAAUACUCCCCCAAAAUCUUGAAGCAAAACAAAUUUUCAGCACUCACGCCAUAUCGUAGAGGUAAAGGAAACCAGACAAGUGAUAAUUUAGAGCAAUGUGCCGCUGCCAAAGAACUUGUCGAACUAAGUCGAAAGGAAUACAUCCAAAAGGAGCAAGAGUUUAAAUUAAAAGCCAUGAAAGAGAAACAUGAACUAGAAAUGCAAAUUAUGAGAGACAAAGCUGCACUUGAAUUAGAAGUAAUAAAGCAGAACACCAAAUGAAGAUUGAAAUAUUAAUUGCCCAAAAAUUUAAUAUUUUAAAUAAUAAAACUUAAAUAAAUAAUUACAUUACA